Molecule: ribosomal RNA, 468 nt
Filed under: uncultured bacterium
Lineage: Bacteria
Description: partial 16S ribosomal RNA
Rfam family: Bacterial small subunit ribosomal RNA
Source: RNAcentral
GACGAACGCUGGCGGCGUGCUUAACACAUGCAAGUCGAACGGAAAGGCCCUGCUUUUGUGGGGUGCUCGAGUGGCGAACGGGUGAGUAACACGUGAGUAACCUGCCCUUGACUUUGGGAUAACUUCAGGAAACUGGGGCUAAUACCGGAUAGGAGCUCCUGCUGCAUGGUGGGGGUUGGAAAGUUUCGGCGGUUGGGGAUGGACUCGCGGCUUAUGAGCUUGUUGGUGGGGUAGUGGCUUACCAAGGCUUUGACGGGUAGCCGGCCUGAGAGGGUGACCGGCCACAUUGGGACUGAGGUACGGCCCAGACGCCUACGGGAGGCAGCAGUGGGGAAUAUUGCACAAUGGGCGGAAGCCGGAUGCAGCAACGCCGCGUGCGGGAUGACGGCCUUCGGGUUGUAAACCGCUUUCGCCUGUGACGAAGCGUGAGUGACGGUAAUGGGUAAAGAAGCACCGGCUAACUACGUG